AAAUCCAGCUUUACUCUUACUGCUGCGGAAAGUGAAACAAGAAACUUAACAUCCUAACAAGACGGUGCAGAUAAUAUAAUAAUCAUAUAAUGCCAUGCCUCAAGACAUUGGGUUCUGUGAACUGGGUGGAGUAACUGGGCUGCUGAUUCUUGAAAGAAAUGUUAGCUGAAUUCACAUAUUGCAGUGAAACAGACAAAACCAGACAACAGACUUUAAACUGGGUUUAAUAACAGAUAAAUGAAACCCACAAUGUUUAAAAAAGAGCAGUUUGUACUUUGAUCAAAAUGCCCAAACCACCACAUAAAAUGCUACAAGAAGAAGGGAUCCGCAUGAAAAGACCAAGACAAGGAAUACAACAGCCAGCACAUCUGAACACGACCACAAACAGACACUCAAACAGGGACAAAUCGUGUCUGCACACCUGCAGCAAACCGUGAACUGAGAAAACAACCAGCGGCCUCCAGCCUUACUUAUGUGAAGUGAUCCCCUGCACCUCGGCCGACAAGGACCCCACGAGUCGGUGUGAUCCCAG
Molecule: long non-coding RNA, 532 nt
Organism: Dicentrarchus labrax (European seabass)
Lineage: Eukaryota; Metazoa; Chordata; Actinopteri; Moronidae
Exons: 2
Source: RefSeq, a predicted model, not a curated record